This is a long non-coding RNA of Monodelphis domestica (gray short-tailed opossum), 1613 nucleotides long. NCBI's taxonomy places the organism in Eukaryota, Metazoa, Chordata, Mammalia, Didelphimorphia, Didelphidae. The record is from Ensembl.
CCCCCCCCCCCCCCCCCAGGCUGCUGUUGCUGCUGCCCUUGUGGGGUGGGACCUGCCUGGCCCCAGAUGAGCUGAGGUUCAGGGCAGGGCCUGGGACAUUUCCUAACCCCAGCCUGGCCUGCCUUUGGGGCAGCAGAGGGAAGACGGCCUACGUUGGCGCCCAGCGAGGCCUCCUCCCUCUUCCCUUGCCCCCUUGCCGCUCCUUCCACAGUGACCUGUUUGUCCUGCUUGGCCUGGGUUCGGGGCUCUCCCGAGAGUGCCGAGGAGCUUGAAGAAUUCCAGCCCUUUGGCAGCGAGGAACAUUGCUCCUUUGUCCCAGAGCCCCCGCUUGGCAGUUCCCCAAGGAGCCUGCAUGGGCUGCCCUCCGGAAGGUUGCAGCAGGGCAGCCCUGGUGCCCGCCAGGAGCCUUCCGAUUCCCCAGGCCGACCUGCCCUUUGGAGACUCCACGUUCGCUUGCCCGGGAUCCCGUCCUUUUCUCCUCAGUCAGUGUGGGAAGCUUUCCUUCUGGGCCGAGAAACCGAGAUCUGCCAAGACUCCUUGGCAGGUUGUGCCAGGCCGAUUUGAACACGGUGCCUGUGAUUCCAAGCAUCAGCCUUUGGGGGUUCUGCCUCAACUUUUGAAGAAAUGUCUGUCACUUAUGAUGAUUCUGUUGGUGUAGAAGUCUCCAGCGAUAGCUUCUGGGAGGUGAGGCUCUCCUUCUCUCUGCUGUGGCUCACAUGUCCUCUGAGUUCCUUUUCUUAUCCACGCUUGGUCAAGGGAACUGUACUCAAUGUAUUCUUGGCCACAUUCUGAAUUUCACCCCGAGAGACUGGCUGUUGUGGCAUGUGUUCUGAUUCUGGGCAGGGUUCUUGUUCUCCAGACUGACGUUUGGCAUUCCCAGCAGUGGAACUUGAGCUGACCCUGGAAGCUGGGAGAAUUUGUUGGAAACUGGAGCAGGGUGGAGGACGAGAAGAGGGUUCUUCCUCUGUCCUGGGGGAGCAGCAGGAGCAGAAGUCGGGAUGGGGCCGGGGGAGGAAUGCCUGGGAGAGAUUGGCCUGCUCAGAGCUGGGCCUGGGCUGCCGAGGAAGGGGGUGGCUUUGUUUGGGUUGGCCCCCGACGGACCCAGGAGCUGUGAGAGUGUGUCACUGGCUUCCCAUCCCUUUCAUGGGAUCCUGGGCUUCGGUUGGCACGUGUAGGCACAUGUACAGGGAACUCGGGAGCAGGGCUGUGCCUGCUAGUCAAUAGAGCUUGGCCUUGGGGUUCCUCCCGUGAGCUCUCAGCUCGGAGGCCUCCUGCCUCCUUUUGGGGGGCUCACAAAUAGAUAACGGCUGGGACUAUUUGUAAGUUCUCUGUGGUCCUGGGGCCUCACUGUCCCUGCCUCUGCCCAUUUCCCCCCUUACCAUCCACCUGAAAUCAGGCCUGCGCAUGGGCUAGGCAGUGGGUGAAGUGACUUGGCCAGGGUCACUCAGCUAGGAGGUGGCUGAGGCCAGGUCGGAUCCGGGACCUCCCAUCUCUGGGCCUGGGUCCUGUGGUCUCUCCUUUGGGAUUAAAUUUGUGGCUAAAGAAUGCUCAGGCCCAUUUCAGGGCCUCCCUACAUUGCCGCAGUGUUGCCUGGCUGGUCUCCUGCCUCGCCU